AUUUGAGUGAGUGGCGGACGGGUGAGUAACACGUGGGUAACCUGCCCUAAAGUGGGGGAUAACAUUUGGAAACAGAUGCUAAUACCGCAUAAAACCUAACACCGCAUGGUGUAGGGUUGAAAGAUGGUUUCGGCUAUCACUUUAGGAUGGACCCGCGGUGCAUUAGUUAGUUGGUGAGGUAAAGGCUCACCAAGACCGUGAUGCAUAGCCGACCUGAGAGGGUAAUCGGCCACACUGGGACUGAGACACGGCCCAGACUCCUACGGGAGGCAGCAGUAGGGAAUCUUCCACAAUGGACGAAAGUCUGAUGGAGCAACGCCGCGUGAGUGAAGAAGGUUUUCGGAUCGUAAAACUCUGUUGUUGGAGAAGAAUGUAUCUGAUAGUAACUGAUCAGGUAGUGACGGUAUCCAACCAGAAAGCCACGGCUAACUACGUGCCAGCAGCCGCGGUAAUACGUAGGUGGCAAGCGUUGUCCGGAUUUAUUGGGCGUAAAGCGAGCGCAGGCGGUUUCUUAAGUCUGAUGUGAAAGCCUUCGGCUCAACCGAAGAAGUGCAUCGGAAACUGGGAAACUUGAGUGCAGAAGAGGACAGUGGAACUCCAUGUGUAGCGGUGAAAUGCGUAGAUAUAUGGAAGAACACCAGUGGCGAAGGCGGCUGUCUGGUCUGUAACUGACGCUGAGGCUCGAAAGCAUGGGUAGCAAACAGGAUUAGAUACCCUGGUAGUCCAUGCCGUAAACGAUGAGUGCUAGGUGUUGGAGGGUUUCCGCCCUUCAGUGCCGCAGCUAACGCAUUAAGCACUCCGCCUGGGGAGUACGACCGCAAGGUUGAAACUCAAAGGAAUUGACGGGGGCCCGCACAAGCGGUGGAGCAUGUGGUUUAAUUCGAAGCAACGCGAAGAACCUUACCAGGUCUUGACAUCCUUUGACCACUCUAGAGAUAGAGCUUUCCCUUCGGGGACAAAGUGACAGGUGGUGCAUGGUUGUCCUCACCUCGUGUCGUGAGAUGUUGGGUUAAGUCCCGCAACGACCCCACCCUUAUUACUAGUUGCCAGCAUUUAGUUGGGCACUCUAAUGAGACUGCCGGUGACAAACCGGAGGAAGGUGGGGACAACGUCAAAUCAUCAUGCCCCUUAUGACCGGGC
Molecule: ribosomal RNA, 1140 nt
Filed under: Latilactobacillus sakei
Lineage: Bacteria; Bacillati; Bacillota; Bacilli; Lactobacillales; Lactobacillaceae
Description: bacterial SSU rRNA
Rfam family: Bacterial small subunit ribosomal RNA
Source: RNAcentral